GACAGAGGUCCCGAGCGUUAGGCGGAAUCACUGGGCUUAAAGCGUGUGUAGGCAGAUCGUUAAGUACCUUGUGAAAUCCCACGGCUUAACCGUGGAACUGCUUGGUAUACUGGCGAUCUUGAGCCACUUAGGGGCUACCGGAACAAAUGGUGGAGCGGUGAAAUGCGUAGAUAUCAUUUGGAACGCCAAUGGUGAAAACAGGUAGCUGGGAGUGUGCUGACGCUGAGACACGAAAGCCAGGGGAGCAAACGGG
Molecule: ribosomal RNA, 253 nt
Filed under: uncultured bacterium
Lineage: Bacteria
Description: partial 16S ribosomal RNA
Rfam family: Bacterial small subunit ribosomal RNA
Source: RNAcentral